CUGGAUGAAAAUUCAAUCGGUGACUUACGGUUUGAGUUUUCUUCUCUAUAUACCUGAGUUUUUCUUAAGAUGAUUUGCUUUAAAGACUAAUAUUUGUUUUAGGAUAGUUUAAAUUUGCGCAUUUACUUUCGUUUCUCUCCUAUGCACAAAUUUAGGGGGAGAAAUAGAAACAAAACAAAAAUUAGAAAAUUUUAAUUUAAAAAAAAUCCAAAAACAUUAGAAAAUCAGAAAAUCAAAAAUAUGGUGUUAAUGGAAUGUGCUUGCAGGAGAUGUUUUGGGAAGUGAUAUAAUCAUGUGAGAACAGGCAAUCUGAAUCUGUGUAAGGGACUGAAUCUGAAUUGUCUAGGCUCUUUGUUCGAUGCGCUGGUAGGCACGAAAGAUUUAAAAUGGACUUGACUAAGCAUAGAUGAAUUUAAGGAAUCUAGAAACUUGAAAAAUCUUGACCUAGAUAGAUCCAUUUUGCCUGACAAUACGACGCUCAGAUAGGUUGAGCAGGGAGAUAUACAUGAAAAUCUACCGGUCACAUUAAAAGAACCCGUGUCUAGAACUGUGGAUUAACCUUUCCUUGAUGUGUGGAUUCUGUCCUCAAUUCCGGUUUUGAUGGGGUGACUGGGGAAUUCCGAUAAACUAGGUCUGUAGAAAGUUAUUUUCUUGCUUUCUGUCAGUUAGUCAUAUGUUGCCUCCUUUGCGUGAUCGAGAGAUCCGACAUGGACUGUAACAUAUGCAAUUCUAUCUCUCUGCAUCUUCUAUAUAUGCAAUUCUUUCUAUCUGUUAUCCAUAUACUGUCUCCUCUGCGUGACUCAUAUUCCGACCUGGUACACAGUAUAUGCAACAUUCUCUUCUCAAUCCCUCUAAAAAUUCAGUUAGUCAUAUAUUUCAUCCUCUGCGUGAUUGGAAGAGAUCCGACCUGGAUGUAUGGCAUAUGCAUUCUAAAUCAACCUUAUCUCUUAAUAAUUGUCUGCUCACCCGGUGUAAGGAGUAUUCGGGAAGUCCUUGAUGGCUGGAGCAUAUCAGGAAGUGGGAAACACGUUCUAGUGUAAUUAAAAUUUGAACACAUACAGAUUGUCUAUAGAUCUCGCUGCUCAAUUUAGGUGGACAACAAUAUCUUUGGUUGUCGUCAGCUGAAUGGUCCUUAAGGAAUAUUAUCUAGGAACUUAGGAUCAUAUUGUCUUGUCACUUAUAGUAUGUCCUAAUUUUGUCACAAUCUCUCGUGUUUAAGUGAACCACAAUACCAGUGAUUGACCAGAUCUAUUCAUGAGGGAGAGGUACUGAUAAACGGAUAAAGGCUGUCUAAAAACUUUGAUCCCAAAUCACUCUUAAAGUUAGCUAUUAUUUUUGUUUUUGUUAAGUUUGUUCAUAGUGUUCUUCUAAUUUAAAUAUAAAGGGGAGAAUUAAAAAUAAAAAUAAAAACAAACAAACAAAAAUCAGAAAAUUCAAAAUAAAAAAUAAAAAAUAGUGUUAUUUCUGUUUUAUUUCUUGUUCAGAAAAACCAAAAAUCCAAAAUAUUUUUGUUUCUGUUUUAUUUUUGUUCAGAAAAUAUGAAAAACCCAAAAAUAUUGUGUGCUAAAUUUUCUUUUAGUUUUGUUUUGUCUUGAAAAGUGAAUUCAGGUGAAGAUGAAACUCAUGGAGUUUGUGUCGAAGAUUUCUGAGCCAAGGCUUCGUCCGUGAGCAUCGAAGAAUUCUCAUUCGAAGGAGCAAGAAAUGAAGAUUAUUCUUUCAACAUUCAAUCCUUCAACCUUAGAAGCAAGGUGAAGCAGAAAUUGAAGAUUAUAUGACGGAUUGCAUUGAAGCCUCCUCAAUCAAUCUGCUACUAUCGUUGUACCUGCUGAAGUGAUCUAGAAGAUUUGUUCUCUCUGAAGAUUCUCAAGCUGAAAGCGCCAUCUUUCAAGAAUCAGUACAAGAAGCUUCCUCACCCAAUGUGCAUUUAGAGUCAAAUCUUGAAGAAAAGCUCAAGUGCUCAAGAUGAAGUCAUUCAUUGAAGAUUCAUCAAGUACAUCUUGAAGUUGUGAAGAAUUUGAAGAUAAAUGUUGAAGCCAAUCUCCCAAUGAAGAUUAACAAGAAAAGCCAGCUACUUUUUAGGGGAGCUUGUUGGGUCAAUUAAGAAAAGAAAGUUAUAAACCAAGGGGGAGAUUGUUGGGUCAAAAAUAUGGUUUAUACUUUACUUUUCAAGGAAAAUGUAUUUUUCUGGAAUAUUUUAUGAGUUUACGAUCAGGUUUACGGUCAGUGGGUGUUUACGACCGUAAACAGGUUUACGGCUGUAAACCCAUUUACGGCCCAUGUUCACCUGGACCAUGUUCCCCUUGUAUAUAUAUAGGUGUUAGGGGUGAGGAGUAGAGAUUGAUGAACGUGAGAUGAGAGAAACCAGAGAGAUGAAGAGAGCAUUUUGUGUGUGUGAAUCUAUUGAAGGAACUUAAUUCUAAUCAUAUCAUUCAAUAUUCAUAUUAUUUUUCUUCUCCUCUCUUCUAUUUGAUCUGACAUCAUCCAAUUGAUUGAGAUUUCGCACCAUCAACUGGAUAUGAUUGAUACACAAGCAGAUUAGGGACUUACAAUUGGUAUUAGAGUUUGGAUUGUAUCAGUCAAUUUUGUCAGAUCUGGAACAUAUUUAAUAUUAUUUUUGAAAGAUUUUUACGUUUUUGGAUAGAUCUCUGAAAAUUAAAGGGGGUUUCUUCUUUUCAUUUUUCAUAUAAAUGGGCUUUUGAUGAAGUUUUGGAGCAAAAAAGGGCAAAAAUCACUAUUUUUGGUCGAAACCUACGAGGGGGUGGCGGAGUUUGCGGCCGGCGGCUAGGGUUUCGGAGUUUACGGUCCGGAGUUUCAUGUCUGAGAUUACAGCCUCGGUUUGCGGUCCUAGGUGGUUUACGACUCGCACGUGUUCGGUCUCGUGGUUAGCAGCAUCCUCGCACCUCGCAUCGCAUCGCAGCUACUUCCUCGCCUNAUAAUAAUAAUAAUAAUAAUAAUAAUAAUAAUAAUUAUAAUAAUAAAAAAAUUAAUAAAUCAAAUUAUAUUUUGAUUUUUGACUUUUAUUGUUUUAACUUUUGACCUUAAAUUUUAACUUUGAUUAUCAAGUUUGACCUUUGACUUUUUCGUUUAACUUUUAAAUUUUCGAAUUUAGCUUUUCGGUUUGACUUUUAAGUUAGACUUUUGAGUUUAACAUUUUAAAUUUGACUUUUAAGGUUGACGUUUGAGGUUUAUAAUCAAAGGGUUUGACUUUUAAGUUUGAUUUUGGCUUCUAGUUGUGCUUUUUAAUGGCUUUUAAGGUCUACGAGGGAGUUGAAAACAUGAAAGAGAGUCGUCAGGAUAUGUUAAGACAAAAUUUCAACAUUUUCGAUUAUAUCCCUGGAGAAACCCUCGAAACUCAGUUGUAGCAAUUUACCAAUCUUACUACUGAAAUGAAUAUAGCUGGGAUCUUCUUGACCAAAUCUGAGAUAAACAAAAAAGCUACUGAAUUCACUUCCGAAAUCGUGGGAUAUGAACGUAGCUGUCAUCAAGAUGACAAAAGAUCUCAAUCGUCUUAGUAUUGCUGAUGUAAUUGAAGAGCUUGAUGCUUUGAAGUGUGGAAAAACAAUGAGUUCCGUAAAUGAAGUUUCGUGUUCUCAAUCAUGUGAAGUUUCAUGUACACUAUCUAGUGAAGAUACGAUUAAAUUUCUUCGGGAACAAAUUGAUUUAUUAAAAAGAGAAGUUGAGGACCUGAGAUAUGAAGGAUAUCAACUCAGGAAAGGACAGAAACCCCUGAGGGCUGAAUUAGAAACAAAAAUAAAGGACUUUAAGAGAAUUCAGCAAGACUACAGUGAAAAAUGUGAAGAUUAUGAUUAUAUCAAGAGACAAAAUGCUGAGUUAAUUACAGAGCUUGAUACAUUAAAAGGGCAAUUUGAAACUGCAAAUUUUGAUUUUAAAAAGUUUGAUGUAUCAAGCGAAGUAGUUGCCAACAUGAUUGACCAUUACAUGCAAUCUAAACAUAAUCGGUCAAAGGGUUUAGGAUACGAUAAUGUACCUCCUCCUUUUAAUCAUACAUAUAAGUAUCAACCUUUGUCUAAAGAGGAGAUUGCCAACGAACCAUUCAUGGUUUAUGGAAAGCCAUCUGGUUUUGUUUCAGGAGGAUUUAUUAAUGUUGAAAAUACUAACGUUUCUACUUCCCCUGCAAAUCAAUCCUUAAAUCAAUCCAAGCAAGCACCUGAAGAGAGUGUGUCAGUUAGUAAAGUAGCAGAAGAUGAGAACAAGGAGAAAACCAUUGAACAAACCAACAUCUCCUUGAGCUCUGAAUAUGUUGCUUUGAACUCAACUUCUUCUGAUCAACCUGCUGUUGAGAAAUAUAGGCCACCAAUUCCAGGGAAACAAAGUGCUUGUUGUAAUUGUGCUUGUGGGAACCAUAAGAGACAAGGCAAAGAUACGCCACCAGGGGCAGGAAGAAACAACUUCACAGUGAAGAAAAAGGCAUGUUUUCACUUUGGAACACCUGGACACAUUGCCCGAAACUGUACAAAUCGCGCAUACGUUCCUNAAACAACUUCACAGUGAAGAAAAAGGCAUGUUUUCACUUUGGAACACUUGGACACAUUGCCCGAAACUGUACAAAUCGCGCAUACAUUCCGUACAACGCACAAGGAUGGAAAAACGCGCCAAGUGGGAGAUACUUCAAAAGAAACCCUUCCAGGUCACGUUUAGACAAUGGUGACUGGAACGUGAAGAAGGCCAAGAAUCAAACCCACAAGGCAAAGAAUCCGAAUCCCAAUGGCAAGAAUGAAAUGCCUGCACAGAAGCCAAAUCCAAUAGAUGCUCCAGUGAAACAAAGACCGGCUAAGUCAAAGUCAUCUCGAAGAUCGGCUUCAAGUUCCAAAUCAAGUGCCGAGGCACCCAUCGGAUCGAAAAAGAAAUGGGUUAUAGUUUGACGAUGUGAAGGGAAGAAAGGAAGGGAUCACUCAUGGGGUUAGUGCUUAACGAUGUGAAGAAUUUUUGGAUCUGUUUUGAGAUUANCUUCUGUUUGUGAUAAGCAGGAUAUGUCAUGGGAGAGAGUAUCGUGCAAGGAUGAAAAAAUUCGACUUAGUUUCAAAAUGGAUUGGGUUCCAAAGACCAACUGAUCCCGCUCUGUGUCGGAGCAGCUAAGGAGGCAUAUCAUCAGACAUCGGUUUGUUGGUAGUGGCUGUUCCUGGCACAUGAUAGGAGGCAUCUCUUAAUUGUACAACACACAAAACAUUAUUUGAGAGUAUGUGUCCGUUGCGGGAAGGGAAGAAAGGGAUCACUCAUGGGGUAAGUGCUUAACGAUAUGAAGAAUUUUUGGAUCUGUUCUGAGAUUACGCGUGCUGUUCUCAGACCUUCUGGAUGAAAAUUCAAUCGGUGACUUACGAUUUAANGCAUUAAUGAACUUAAGGAAUCUAGAGACUUGAAAAAUAUUGACCUAGAUAGAUCCAUUUUGCCUGACAACACGACGCUCAGAUAGGUUAAGCAGGGAGAUAUACAUGAAAAUCUACCGGUCACAUUAAAAGAACCCGUGUCUAGAACUGUGGAUUAACCUUUCCUUG
This 5513-nucleotide long non-coding RNA is filed under the name Lactuca sativa (garden lettuce). RNAcentral describes it as "long non-coding RNA (LSAT_LNC007946)". Lineage: Eukaryota; Viridiplantae; Streptophyta; Magnoliopsida; Asterales; Asteraceae. The record is from RNAcentral.